Sinocyclocheilus grahami is the source of this 3904-nucleotide RNA transcript. It is a transcript of the gene named kelch repeat and BTB domain-containing protein 8-like, with no coding region annotated. Lineage: Eukaryota; Metazoa; Chordata; Actinopteri; Cypriniformes; Cyprinidae. The record is from RefSeq and is a predicted model, not a curated record. The transcript is spliced from 5 exons.
CGGUUUCCCAGUCGCCGUGAGACAGAUUGGGGAGAAUGGCUGCCAGUGGAGAUAUAGGAAAGCUGUUACAAGUACAGAAUGGGACUCCAGCAAGCACAAGCUACAAUGGGGUAGAUGCCCUACACGCCUGUAACAUUCUCCAGCAGCUUAAAGUCUUGUACGACGAAGCUCAGCUGACUGACAUUGUCGUGGAAGUGGACCAUGGCAAGACAUUCUCUUGUCACAGAAAUGUCCUCGCUGCCAUCAGCCCAUACUUCAGAUCCAUGUUCACAAGUGGCCUUACAGAGAGCAGUCAGCGGGAGGUGCGGAUUGUUGGUGUUGAAUCAGAGUCCAUGCAUUUGGUUCUGGACUAUGCUUACACCUCACGUGUCACUCUUACAGAGUCUAACGUGCAGGCACUGUUCACCGCUGCCAGCAUCUUCCAGAUCCCAGCCCUCCAAGACCAAUGUGCCCAGUUCAUGAUCAGCCGUUUGGACCCUCAGAACUGCAUUGGGGUCUUCAUGUUCGCAGAUGCUUAUGGCCACCAGGAGUUGUGGGAGCGCUCGCAGGAUUACAUCCGCAAGAAGUUCCUGUGCGUGAUGGGAGAGCAGGAGUUCCUUCAUCUGACCAAAGAACAGCUGGUCAGCAUUCUCAACAGUGAUGAUUUGAACGUGGAAAAAGAGGAGCACGUUUAUGAAAGCAUCGUGCACUGGUUGGAGUAUGACUGCUCACGUCGGGAGGCGGAUUUACCUGAGGUUUUUGCCAAAUGCAUCCGCUUGCCCCUUCUGGAUGAGGCCUUUCUGAGCCGUAUACCCCCAGCCUUCGCCCUGGCCUUGUCCAGGGAUUCCUCGGAUAAGGGUCGGCUCAACGGCACCAAUGGCUGCCCACAGCGGCUGGGUAUGACUGCAUCAGAGAUGGUCAUCUGCUUCGACGCGGCUCACAAGCACUCAGGGAAGAAGCAGACCGUGCCUUGCCUGGACAUUGCUGCCGGGAAGGUGUACAAGCUGUGCAAACCUCCCAAUGACCUCAGAGAGGUUGGCAUUUUGGUCUCAUCAGAGAAUGACAUCUUCAUUGCCGGAGGCUAUCGGCCGAGCAAUAGUGAGGUGUGCAUCGACCAUCGUGCAGAGAGUGACUUCUGGCAGUAUGAACAUGCUGGCAAUAGGUGGCUCCCACGAUCACCCAUGUUGCGGGCGCGCAUCGGUUGCAAGCUAGUACACUGCUACGGGAAACUCUACGCUCUGGGUGGUCGAGUGUAUGAAGGGGAUGGACGAAAUGCUUUGAAAUCUGUGGAGUGCUAUGAUGCCAGAGACAACUGCUGGACAGCGAUCAGUCCCAUGCCAGUGGCCAUGGAGUUCCACAGCACAGUAGAGUAUAAGGACCGCAUCUAUGUGCUGCAAGGAGAAUUCUUCUUCUGUUUUGACCCCCGCAAAGACUAUUGGGGGCAUUUACCGUCUAUGAACGUUCCCCGCACUCAAGGCUUGGCGGCCCUGUACAAAAACUGCAUCUACUACAUAGCAGGCAUCUGCAGGAACCACCAGCGCACGUUUACCGUCGAGGUGUACGACAUCGAGCAGAACACCUGGUGCCGUAAAAGAGACCUCCCCUUCGACCAAGCGACCAGCCCCUACAUCAAGGUGCUUCUGCUUCAGGGCAGAUUGCAUCUGUUUGUUCGAGCCACGCAAGUCAUGGUAGAAGAACACGUGUUCCGUACCAGCCGCAAGAACUCCCUCUACCAGUAUGACGAUGAAGCCGACCAAUGGACAAAGGUCUAUGAGACGCCGGACCGCCUCUGGGACCUCGGCCGCCAUUUUGAGUGCGUGGUUGCCAAACUAUACCCUCAGUGUCUUCAGAAAGUGCUGUGAGUUCAAGGAGAGGUUAAGAUCAUAAUGCAAUGUGCUGUUUGAGACAGCUGAUUAAUGUUUUUGGAGAAGGGGAUGGUGGUACUGCUCAAUACAUGGUGCUGUUUGUGUCCCCAACACCAGAACUGCAGGGGAAGUCUUAAAGCGUUAAAGGUUUCAAUCAAUAAACUCGGGUGCUGUUUGAAAAAGUAAAAAAAAAAAAAAAAACGCAGUAUUUUAUGUUUGACAAUUGUGCGCACAGUGCCCACAGAAUCGCUUGUUUUACAGUUAGAAAAGUGAAUCAUAAGUGCAAUUAAUCUUUUUUUUUUGCAGAUGUUGAGACGUUUCUGCUCCAUUAUAUCUUUAAAGGUUUUGUUGCUGUUUUGGCUUGGGUUGUUGGCAUGCAUAGUUGGCGAACAUGUACAGUUAAUGUUCUUAAGGACAAGCAGUAUGUCAACAGUUGAGUAAAACAAGAAAAGAAUAAUUGGUGAAAAAUAAAUGUAUAAAGCUAUAAAUAUUCAUACGGGUAUGAUGAGCGUUUUUGCUCAGUGUGAAUACUGAAUUUUUAAAUGGUAAUUUCUUUCAGGUUUUCAGAUGAGUAAGUUGAUCCAUGCCACCUACAAAAAGACUUUCUGUGGUUUGCUUAAGAAUUUCGUUAGAGAAUUUUGAUUAUUAAUGGAAAGUAAUUCGUUUGCCAAGAUGCGCACACAGGUUUUAAUCUUUGAUUUUUCUUUUUCCUUUUUAAGUCAACCCAUGUGCUAUAACAUAACAGCAGUUUUUAAUUUUCAUUUUAGACUCUGCUUUUAUGAUGUUUCGUUCAUCCCAGCUACCAAAUCAAAAUCUUUAUCUUUGCAAUUUCGCAUCACCAGCCAGAUCUUUAGUGAGGUUACAAGAUUUUACCUUUAGAAGUCUCCAUAUUGGAGAAGAAAAAAGGAUACUAGCUUUACGUGUAGCUGAAAUCAAAAGUGGGCAAUUUGUUGACAGCCAAAACUGCUCCGAUCAGGAGAGGACAUCGAUAGGGUUGGCGAAGAGGUGGCCAAAAUGUGGAUGCCUGCAUUCCACUGUCAUUUACUGACUCCUCGUAUCUGAAACCUACAAGUGCAGUUUGAAGAAGGAUGCCUCCAAAAUGCCAAAACGUGUUCUAGGAGUCUUAGCCUGCACCCCAUGGCAGCAAUAACAGGUGUUCUGUCAUUGUUCUUUAGACAAAGUACAAUAGAAAUUUAAGUGAUGUUUUCAUGAAUAAUUCCAGAAAAAUGGCCUUUGUUUUGCUAUCAUGGGUUGGUUAACGUUCAGUGAGAUGUUGCUAUCAGGGGUGACAGUGCCUGUUCACAUGAAAAGCCCAGGCAUCAGUGAUGGAGUGAACAAAGCCGAUAUGAAGUCCGAUAUAGUACAGUUUGCUUCUGCACUAAGGUGCUUUGACUUUAGGAAAGGUCAGUUUUGCAAAUGUCCAGUCCUCCUGUACUAGCGUUUCCUGCAAAUGAACACUUUCUUUAUUUCUUUCCAUCCCCUUAUCUUCCAGUCUUGAACUAUGGAGAAGAAGAAUUGUUUUUGGUGCAGCUUUUUUGACAAUCUUAUACAGAAGAUACAGUGAUUUUACAGCCAUUUGUCAUUGCUUGACACUUCCAAAAGUUGUCAGUCUUAUAAGUUAUUGUCGCUCGACGUUUGUUUUGGUUUUCCAGCCUCAAGUUUAUUUCGUCAUGCAGGUUUCUGAUUUUGCACUACAUUAUUUCCUCCCUUGAAAGCGUCUCAGAAUACAGCGCUAUGUUUUCAGACACAGAGACUGAGGACGUGGUAAACUGCGUCUUUAAAUAGGACAGCUGAUGGCUCUUUGGUGCCUGCGAGGGCGAGCUUCAUCUGGGGCUUUGGUGAAGGGUGAGGGAUGAGAAAUUGCGUUGGCUUUGGUGCAGUUGCACAUUUCCCAUAUUUACACUCAGUAGCACGGGAACCAGAAAUGGACACUUCUCAGGAUUAUUGUCGAUACACAGUACUGUAUUUAAAUGGUUUGUUGUACGUGUAAUAUACUGUACCAUAUGUUUGCUGUACUUGCACAGUUUUGUUUUUUUUUUUUUCCUCCUUUUAGAUGGGUG